Molecule: long non-coding RNA, 6103 nt
Filed under: Sus scrofa (pig)
Lineage: Eukaryota; Metazoa; Chordata; Mammalia; Artiodactyla; Suidae
Description: lncRNA (ENSSSCG00000055599.1)
Source: RNAcentral
AGCCUAGCAGCAAGUUCCUUUAGCAUAUUAUAUUACCUAAUAGAAGGAUAAGCCAUCACCUGUAAUGUAAAUAGCUUAAUGGUUCUUUUGAUGAUGACCAAGGCCAAGAGAAAAACUGUGUCCUCCUGUAAGAAGACAUGGUCCAUGUCUUUAGGAGGUAUAUCUAUAACGUGGCACAUUUUUAUUUUGCCACAAAUGGUCCCCUAAUUUCUUGGACUGAUGUUUGUGUACACAACUUUAAUUUUCUGAGGAAGACAGGCAGGUGUUCUUUGCCUGUUGGCUAUAUCUUCCCAUAAGAAGCCUAGUAACAUCCAUGAACCAAAUAUAAUUUGACAUAAUUUAUGCCUUUAUUAACUCCUACAGAAUGAUAUUACUUCAUGCUGGCAUGUCAGUGUUUCCAGCACGAUACUCUCAUUCCUAGAAAUUUUACCUUCUGAAGUUCAAGUAUUGAGGAAUGAGUUUAAAAAUUUUCUAAGUGCCUUAGAUUUGGGGAAAAUGCAACUUAUUACAAGGUCAGCUUUUUACUCUUUUUUGAUAUUUGGUGGAACUGCAUAUUGCCAGUAUGCAGUAUCUGAUAAUGUUCAAAUAACAGGCCAAAAUCAUAUCUGAAAACUCUGACUCUUUUUGGCCAAACUGCUUGUUUCCAUUCUAUUUCAAUUUUUGCAAAUAAUGUUUCAUCAUUAUUUGCUGCUAUUUGUUCCCCUGGUGAUGUACAUUCAGGAGAUAUUGGUCAAAAAAUGUUUUAAGUGAUUGCACCUUUAAUCUAUUUUAUGUAGUACUUAUAUCUGUCUUAAUAUUCCAGCAUUCAGAAUUUGGAAGGAUGGAGUGUGUAAGUUUCUUAUUGCUGUCAUAACACAUUACCACAAAUUUAGUGGCUUAAAAUAACACAAACUUAUUAUCUUAUGGCUCAUAGGUCAGAGGUCUCACUGGGCUAAAAUAACUUGUUGACAGAGCUACAUUCCUCCGUGGGCUAUAUGGGAGAAAAGAAUCCUUUUCUUUCCCUUUCCUAGCUUCUCGAGAUUGCCUGACUUCUUUGGCUUGUGGCCCCUUCCUGUCUUCAAAACUAGCAAUGGUGGGUCAAAUUGACCCUGUUUCAUUGUCACACCUCUCUUUCUUUCUCACUACAGCAAAAAAAUGUUGUCCACCUUCGAAGACUCAUGUGAUUAGAUUGGGCCCACCUGGAUAAUCCAUUUUGCACUUCCUAUCUCAAGUUCCAUACCCUAGGUGACAUCUGCAAAGUAUCUUUUACCAUACAAGAUAUCAUAUUAACAGGUUUUGGAGAAGAGGAGCUGGCAAUCCUUGGAGAAGGAGUGGGGCUUAGCACAUGGCUUUUCAGAGUUCUUUCUCAUACCAAUAUUCGAAGGAUUAAUAGCAGUCACCAGCUUUAAAAGUCUCCAAACUUUUAAAAUCAUUCAUGAAAAUAGUUUAAAAUGUUUGAUUAUGUACUCCCUAUAUAUGUGCAUUUCAUUCUAAACUAUACUAUUAUCUAUACUAAUAGUUUACACGCUAAUAAUAAAGCUUCAUUUCUUUUUAAUCUAUAAGUAAAUAAAAGCAGAUCUUCUAAUGGUUUCUUUGUACUCGAGUGCAUCAUCUUGUGUGUUCCGAAGGCUGUGUGCACCUUAUGCUGGAGAAGAAGGAAAAAAAAAUGAAGUUUGGGUUAACUUGUGUGAAUGUGGCUCUUGACUCUUUCAGACACAUAAGGCUUCAAGGUGAGGAAGGGAUGCAAAGACUUUGGGGGAGUCUUUGAUAGUUUUUGAAAGUGAGGAAGAAAGAUAUUUGUUUUGCUUACACCAUUACUGCUGUUUGUGGUUACAGAGGGUAACAGUGUAGAAUGUAACAUGCCCAAAGCUGUCCUGAAAGAUGAGAGCUGAAAAUAAUAGAAUUGGGAAACAAAUGCCAUUUUAUAAAAGAUUAGAAAGGGGUUGUUUACCAGAAAGCUCCAAAACAUGAGUUAGGUACUUGUUUAGAAUAAGGCUAUAUCUCAUCAGAAAGCUACUCAUGUCAAGGUACUUGAAAAUUCUAAGAAACCAAUUGUUCACUGACCAUUUUGAACACUAGUAGCAAGGUCCCUGUGAAACUAGGCUGAGAAAAGAGGUGAUUCUUCUAAGUUUACCUUAAAUCAUAUUUUCAACUUUGAGAAACAUCUCUAUUAUACCAGCCACACUUGAUCUCUGUGGCAUGUAGGCUUAUUACAGUGUAGGAAAACCAGAAAUUGUAACACAAGCCGACAAUGUAAGUCCUCUUGCGUUAAAUUUCGAGAUGUUUUCAGAACAGUCAGCCUAGAAAAUGGCAUAUUGCAAAGACAUGCUGACACACCUCUGAAAUCAAAAAGAGCUUCUGCUGGCAAAUGAAAGUAGGUUGCCACAAAAAUGUACAUCAAUUAGGAAACAAGUCAAUGAGUGUUUGCCAACUGCCGUAAGUGUCCUAGAGGCAGUCCGGGCAGUAUAUUUUUAUUUGAUUUGCCCCAGGCCACUUCCAUUCUCUUCCUGAAAGAUGGACAGGUAGUCCUCUUAAAUCCUUCGCUUAGAGUUUCCAUCAAUGAUCUCAAAAUGUAUCUGCUAACGUGUCAAUGAUUACUGUACAAAGAAGUGAACCAUUAUAGCUAAAUUUCCCCACUGAAACCCAAUCUAGGGAUUAGCAACAAUAGGGAAUCUGUUUUAUUUGCAUUUAAUUUGUACCUUCACACUAUUAUCUGCAAUGUUUUAGUUUCAGGAAAUGUGGUCUCAGGCUAUUAUAACCACAUUUCAUGCUGCUGUUGCACUGUUAUUUGAUCUCUAUGGUUAGAAAUGACUUACUGAAAAAAUAAAGCUGGCAUACUUUAUUUUAAUUAUACCAGUGCAGUGUCUAAAUAAAAAAUGUACUUUAUAUUUAAUGUGGAGCACAGAUUAACAGUUUUAUGGGACAUAAAAUCUAUCUAUAUCAUUUUCUAUUUACACAUCAGUUAUAUAUCUUUCUCUCGGCAAAACAAAUGCCUAUGGUGUGAAAACAAGGAAGGAGAACAUCGAAGUUACAAUCACAUGGGCAGUAAAUAACAUCUUAAUUGGUCUGGAAUGCUGGAGUUUGAUUUUUUUUCUGCCUGGCUUUUAUUUAUUGAUCUCUAUAGCUUAUUUAUCUUCCCAGUGAUUUGUACAAGUCUAUCUUCUUUCCUCAAUAAGCCAGUCUAUGGUGGUUUUAUGUUGCAAAUCCCAUCUGGGGAAAUGGUCUAGUGAGAGAAGUGGAGUUGCUCCUGGAAAAGCCAUUAUUUAAAAGCUUUUGUAGAGGUAAGGGUAACUUCUCAGUUUUUUCACUUUGUCUCCUGGAAAAAAGAAGGAAAGAAAAAGUGCGGCUAUUAUGAAGUUGCCACCCAAUGUAUGUUUCAACAAUUCUUUACUCUCCACUUGUUUGGCAGCAGUAGGAAAACAAAGAAGGAUUUAGUGUACACUGGAAAAUGUCUUUAGGUUUUCCUGUGUAUGAUUUAGUUCCAAGUGAAGGUAGCAGACAGGAAUGGAUUGUGUAUGUCUAAUACAUCAUAUGUAAACCCUCGAUUUUUUUCUGUGGGCAUUUCUACAGCUCCAUUCCUAAUAUCUUUUUUAAAAUAGCACUUUAGGAUAAACUACACUUCACAUGGCACAUUAUGCUCCAAAGUGCAGUUGAGAACUGGCGAAUGUAACCGUUCUCAGGAAAGCUGGUUAGAAAAAAACAAAAACAAAAAAACCCCACCACUUUUUCUAGUAUAUAGAUAUCUGGAGCUGAAGUCAACCCUGGAAAAUUAGUGUUUUUUUUCCCUCCUAAAUCGAUGAUUCCAUAGUUUGUCAAAUCAGCACUUCCAGUGUUUGUCUUGAUCUCACAGAAUAUUAGAAGAGCGCUCUGAAAGAUUUUCUCUGUUGAUAGCCGAGGGAAAAACAAGUUUACAGAUGGCAAUACUGUACUUAUGCAAGUGAUGUUUUGCAAAGUGAUUCUAGAAAAUAUUUGAAAAGGAGACUCUGAUAUCCCAUCAUCACCCUAAUAUAACCUUAACUGCCUUUAAAUGAGCUAAUGAAUUUGGGGCAGGUCUUUUAGAGAAUGCAUUUGCAUUCGACAUAAUUAGUGGAAGGCAGAUUUUACUACAUCCAGGGGGAAUCUCGAGACAACUGCUUGGCCGACUAUUAGUGCUUAAUUUCUGAAUGUCAAACCCUGCACAUCUUAAUUUCUAGAGAAUAAGCUCAAUUGAACUUGCUUCCCAGUUAUGCAAAAACUGCUCAGAUAAAACCAAGUGGACACCAAUGUAAUGAAUGUGGUUAUUAAAUUGUUUCAAUUGAAAGAACCCUAUUCUUACACCAUCAUAAUGGGAACAAUUUAUCCCCACUGAUCGGCCUGUCUCUCUCUUUCUCUCUCUCUCACUCUCUCUUUUUCUGAGCUCUCUUUGAUCUUGAAGCAUAUUGCGGUGGUGUGUCCUAUUGAAAAGCGAAACUGGGGCAAUUUUAAUGCUUUUGUACCUUACCAGUGCUCUAUUUUUUCGCUGUUUAAAAAUAGCUGUUAAUUAUAAGUGCAGUUUAAAUGUCUCAAGUGACCCAGAAAUGCAGGUUGGAAUGAGACAGAUUGUGUGUCUUAUAUGAAACAGAUGUACUUUCACAGAGCAUUCUGAAUUCAGUCUUCCUCUGUAUCCUCCUCUUGAGUUAUUUCAAUCAGGUAUUGAGCUGGUCUAGCACUGUGCUCUAAAACUGCACACAUUUGAACAGAGUGAAAGGAAAACAGAUCUUUUUUUGUUUGUUUGCACCGCAAAGAAAAGCCUCCUUUGUGUAUCAAUCCCUACUAUGUGGGUGAAUGUUGUGCUGUUGGUGUUAGAUGAUGGGGCAGGGCCACUUUCCUGGCCAGAAAAACCAUAUGAUUUUCUAGAGCUCCACACUAUCUGUCUCUUGGGUGAGGGCCUUUGUGUUAAAAGAACACUGAAGGAGUGAUAAACACAUCUCUUGAAGCUGAUUCAAAUUACCUGUCUACUAGAUUUUGAGGAUCUUUGAUUCUUCACUGGUUUCAGAAACUUGGGGUUUUUAAAUUCCUUGCUAACUUGUAACUAUCCUCUAGAUGGUUACAUUGCUGGUGAUAUUUUGGGGACCAAGGCUUUAGUAAGUCAGGUAAUAACUCAGCAAAAUCAUAUUAUGUAUUUAUUCUACUGCAGCCUGAACUAAUUGGUACUUGUUUAAUUACAUGUACUUGUAUGGUGCAGGUUUGAAGGUGAUUCUAUUUAGUGGAGUUCCAAGAAGUGAUUUCAAAAUUGAAUUUCGAUUACAGUGCAUUCCAGCAGUUUGAUGAUCUUUUCCAGGUUUCUUAGGAUCUUUGGUUCACAUCCCAAAGCCACCUGAAUCUGAAUAUUUGAUUCAGUGAGGGAAUUCAAGAUUCAAUCCUCUUCCUCCACUUGGAUUCAGAUCCGUGGUCCAGUCUCCCUUGAUAGCUGGAUGAAAGCAUGUCUCAGAGGAGUGAGGGAAGUUUAUAGGCAUUGGUUCCCUAUGUGCUUGCCGCUAGACAUGUCCAACUGAGGAGUUCUUCAUUGCCAAAGCAGUGGCAUUGAACACUGUCAUGGUGUGAGCUUAAGGACUGAUUUUUUUAAACUCUUUUUAGAAAAUUUGUAGAUGUUUUAGUCAAAUUCUAAAUGUAGGCACUGAUUUGAACAUUUUUCAUAGCUAAUUUUUCAUUUUAAUUAGUAAUUUUUACUUGAUUGAUUUAAUUCUAAUAUAAUCAUUCUGAUUCUAAUCAUUCUAAUUUGUCCAAUAAGAUUUAUUCCAUUUAGUGUUUAUAAUCUCAUGACAGCCCAAAGCAUUUGGGUUACGUUUUGUGACAAGUGAAUGGUUUAUUUUCAGGAAGAGGGGUAGUUAUGGCCUCGGGUGAAUUUAAGAGAAUCUAUAUCAUAAAGAGUUGGUGCUGAAAAAAAAAUUCAGAAAGAGACAUUUUAAAAAUUCAUAUCUUAUAAAAAUAUUCCAUUCACUGAAAUACAUUUAUGUUGCUACUAUAAGAGCCAUGAUAACACAUUUGAAACCACAAUACAAAUAAUACAUUUCUAAGUCAAGUGACUCUGAAAAGUAGAACAAUUAGGAAAGGCAGUCUCCUGUGUUCAGUCUUUGGACCCCAUUCAUCCUCGUAAGAGUGGGCC